RNAcentral lists this ribosomal RNA (253 nucleotides) under uncultured bacterium. RNAcentral's name for it is "partial 16S ribosomal RNA". It matches the Rfam family "Bacterial small subunit ribosomal RNA", at positions 524 to 776 of the family's 1533-position model. The record is from RNAcentral.
UACGUAGGGCGCAAGCGUUGUCCGGAAUUAUUGGGCGUAAAGAGCUCGUAGGCGGUCUGCUGCGUCCGCUGUGAAAACUCGGGGCUUAACCCCGAGCCUGCAGUGGAUACGGGCAGACUAGAGGUAGGUAGGGGAGAAUGGAAUUCCCGGUGUAGCGGUGAAAUGCGCAGAUAUCGGGAGGAACACCGGUGGCGAAGGCGGUUCUCUGGGCCUUACCUGACGCUGAGGAGCGAAAGCGUGGGGAGCGAAUGGG